Molecule: long non-coding RNA, 831 nt
Filed under: Marmota monax (woodchuck)
Lineage: Eukaryota; Metazoa; Chordata; Mammalia; Rodentia; Sciuridae
Source: RNAcentral
UAAGUAAAUUAGUUGUAGAUGGUAGGAACUAGUUUGCUCACUCAGGGAAGGUGAACCAGGGAAGACAAACCCUGUGGUACUGGAUUAGAAUCAAAUAUCAGUAUGAACUUAUAUUUAGCUUUUAGCAGUAGAUACUGAAAUAAUUAUAGAUCUCUCUCUCUCUCUCUCUCUCUACACACACACACACACACACACACAGGAUAAACACUAAUUUCUUAGCUCUGUCUGUUAGUAGAGCUUAGGAAUGGUGCCAUCUCACUAACAGUGGACACAUUUGGCCAUUGGAUCUUGGUUUCUAAAUACCAUUCUCCAGUAAAAUGGUAUCUAGGAAAAAUGGUGAUUAUAGGGUUGGAAUAGGAAAAAAUGUUCUUAUAUUUUCUGGCACUAUAAUGAGCCUAGAGCACCUUUAGUGCCAGAAACAAGGAAGUGCUAAAAAUACACAAGGGUGAGGGAGUGUCAAAGGGAUGUAGGUGCCAACCCGAAAGAACUCUCAAUGGCUUAAGUUGGAACAAUUUGAACAGAAAAAUAAAUGACGUAUUGGAAUAAAAGUAUAAAAUAAGUAUAUAUGUGCUUAUACUGAUAUAAAUGACUGCAUAAAUAUAUGGAUGAGAAGACACAAAUCUUCCUUACUGAAAAAUUCCAGUAGCUUAGUACUCUCAAAUCCUAAGGUGGGUUGGACUUAGUGACUUGCUUCUAAAGAAUGAAGAAUGAUGAGGGGAAAACAGUAACUUCACAGGGAGAAGCCUCACAAGCAGUUACUUAACAAGAUGACCAAGGUAAAUAUCAUAGUUAUAUUCAUGUUGAUAACCUGUACCCCCUGAUAGGUGAUAA